This 442-nucleotide ribosomal RNA is filed under the name uncultured bacterium. RNAcentral describes it as "partial 16S ribosomal RNA". It matches the Rfam family "Bacterial small subunit ribosomal RNA", at positions 338 to 795 of the family's 1533-position model. The record is from RNAcentral.
CCUACGGGGGACUGCAGUGGGGAAUAUUGGGCAAUGGGCGAAAGCCUGACCCAGCAACGCCGCGUGAAGGAAGAAGGCUUUCGGGUUGUAAACUUCUUUUGUCAGGGAAGAGCAGAAGACGGUACCUGACGAAUAAGCCACGGCUAACUACGUGCCAGCAGCCGCGGUAAUACGUAGGUGGCAAGCGUUGUCCGGAUUUACUGGGUGGAAAGGGCGUGUAGCCGGGUUGACAAGUCAGAUGUGAAAUCCUGCGGCUCAACCGCCGAACUGCAUUUGAAACUGUUGAUCUUGAGUAUCGGAGAGGCAGGUGGAAUUCCUAGUGUAGCGGUGAAAUGCGUAGAUAUUAGGAGGAACACCAGUGGCGAAGGCGGCCUGCUGGACGACAACUGACGGUGAGGCGCGAAAGCGUGGGGAGCAAACAGGAUUAGAUACCCCUGUAGUC